UACUCCUACGGGAGGCAGCAGUGGGGAAUAUUGGACAAUGGACCAAAAGUCUGAUCCAGCAAUUCUGUGUGCACGAUGACGUUUUUCGGAAUGUAAAGUGCUUUCAGUUGGGAAGAAAAAAAUGACGGUACCAACAGAAGAAGUGACGGCUAAAUACGUGCCAGCAGCCGCGGUAAUACGUAUGUCACAAGCGUUAUCCGGAUUUAUUGGGCGUAAAGCGCGUCUAGGUGGUUAUGUAAGUCUGAUGUGAAAAUGCAGGGCUCAACUCUGUAUUGCGUUGGAAACUGCAUGACUAGAGUACUGGAGAGGUAAGCGGAACUACAAGUGUAGAGGUGAAAUUCGUAGAUAUUUGUAGGAAUGCCGAUGGGGAAGCCAGCUUACUGGACAGAUACUGACGCUAAAGCGCGAAAGCGUGGGUAGCAAACAGGAUUAGAUACCCUGGUAGUCCACGCCGUAAACGAUGAUUACUAGGUGUUGGGGGUCGAACCUCAGCGCCCAAGCUAACGCGAUAAGUAAUCCGCCUGGGGAGUACGUACGCAAGUAUGAAACUCAAAGGAAUUGACGGA
Molecule: ribosomal RNA, 566 nt
Filed under: uncultured bacterium
Lineage: Bacteria
Description: bacterial SSU rRNA
Rfam family: Bacterial small subunit ribosomal RNA
Source: RNAcentral